This 342-nucleotide ribosomal RNA is filed under the name uncultured Latescibacterota bacterium. Its description in RNAcentral is "bacterial SSU rRNA". It matches the Rfam family "Bacterial small subunit ribosomal RNA", at positions 29 to 351 of the family's 1533-position model. The record is from RNAcentral. Lineage: Bacteria; Pseudomonadati; Candidatus Latescibacterota.
AACGAACGCUGGCGGCGUGGAUUAGGCAUGCAAGUCGAACGAGAAAGGUUCCUUCGGGGACUGAGUACAGUGGCAAACGGGUGAGUAACGCGUGGGAAACUUGCCUUUCAGAUGGGGGAUAACACUUCCAACGAGGUGCUAAUACCGAAUACGAUCAUUGUAGUCGCAUGGCUAUAUGAUCAAAGGUGGCCUCUGAUUCAAGCUACCGCUGAAAGAUGGUCCCGCGUCCCAUUAGCUAGUUGGUGGGGUAAAAGCCUACCAAGGCGAUGAUGGGUAGCCGGCCUUAGCGGGUGUCCGGCCACACUGGGACUGAGAUACGGCCCAGACUCCUACGGGAGGCUG